AUUGAACGCUGGCGGCAGGCCUAACACAUGCAAGUCGAGCGGAUGAAGGGAGCUUGCUCCUGGAUUCAGCGGCGGACGGGUGAGUAAUGCCUAGGAAUCUGCCUGGUAGUGGGGGAUAACGUCCGGAAACGGGCGCUAAUACCGCAUACGUCCUGAGGGAGAAAGUGGGGGAUCUUCGGACCUCACGCUAUCAGACGAGCCUAGGUCGGAUUAGCUAGUUGGUGGGGUAAAGGCCUACCAAGGCGACGAUCCGUAACUGGUCUGAGAGGAUGAUCAGUCACCCUGGACCUGAGACACGGUCCAGACUCCUACGGGAGGCAGCAGUGGGGAAUAUUGGACAAUGGGCGAAAGCCUGAUCCAGCCAUGCCGCGUGUGUGAAGAAGGUCUUCGGAUUGUAAAGCACUUUAAGUUGGAGGAAGGGCAGUAAGUUAAUACCUUGCUGUUUUGACGUUACCAACAGAAUAAGCACCGGCUAACUUCGUG
RNAcentral lists this ribosomal RNA (483 nucleotides) under uncultured bacterium. RNAcentral's name for it is "partial 16S ribosomal RNA". It matches the Rfam family "Bacterial small subunit ribosomal RNA", at positions 30 to 507 of the family's 1533-position model. The record is from RNAcentral.